AGUCUGUAGCAGUAUAUGGUGUAAUAUUUCUAUGUAGCUCAGUCUGUAGCUGUAUAUGGUGUAAUAUUUCUAUCUAGCUCAGUCUGUAGCUGUAUAUGGUGUAAUAUUUCUAUGUAGCUCAGUCUGUAGCAGUAUAUGGUGUAAUAUUUCUAUGUAGCUCAGUCUGUAGCAGUAUAUGGUGUAAUAUUUCUAUUUAGCUCAGUCUGUAGCUGUAUAUGG
This is a non-coding RNA of Pelobates cultripes (western spadefoot toad), 219 nucleotides long. The record is from the annotation of a GenBank genome assembly. Lineage: Eukaryota; Metazoa; Chordata; Amphibia; Anura; Pelobatidae.